UCUUUCUCUUUUCUCCUUGGAAGUUUGCAUCCAUGGCUCUGCGUGGCUAAAGCUUUUAUUGGUCUAAGAAAACAGAAGCCUCGGAAUCAAUAAAACUGUGAGAUCUGAAUUUGUUUUCAUUGUUCAAUUCAUGCUUUGAUGUCGAAUGUCCUUCUGUGCAUAUUUUCAUGAUUAUUUUCGUUUAAUGACUAGGAGGCCUACUAGUUUAUUAUUCGUUGCAAUCUACUGCUAGGUUAGAUAUCAAAUCCGUAAUUGUUUGAUUCCUCUUAUCUGUGAAGCAACUAAGAUCUAAUUAUUUGCUGCGUCAGAAAUUUUCAGAUCUUAGGAAGAAUACUCGGCUAAAUCAAAUGCAACCGCUUGUGUUUGUGUUGUUUAGUUUCAUCGAUCUCUCUAAUUCUUAAGGCUGCUACUAGAUUAAACCGUUAGCGCUUGUCUUGGAUUGUUUAGUAGUUAGGGUUAAUUAGAUCGCUUGUUUUUAAUUAACUACAACUAAGAAGAGAUAGAAAAAUAUUUCUA
This 516-nucleotide long non-coding RNA is filed under the name Phoenix dactylifera (date palm). Its description in RNAcentral is "long non-coding RNA (PDAC_LNC011518)". The record is from RNAcentral. Lineage: Eukaryota; Viridiplantae; Streptophyta; Magnoliopsida; Arecales; Arecaceae.